RNAcentral lists this long non-coding RNA (386 nucleotides) under Physcomitrium patens. RNAcentral describes it as "long non-coding RNA (PPAT_LNC007797)". Lineage: Eukaryota; Viridiplantae; Streptophyta; Bryopsida; Funariales; Funariaceae. The record is from RNAcentral.
GACUGCUCGCUAAAGUCCUUUUUAUCCCAGCCGGUAGGUCUUUAGACGUUACAGAGAACCCCGAAUAACCCAAACUGCUAAUCUUCGAUACCGCUUUAUACUCACGAUCUUAUAUCCACUGACUGUCUCGUUAGAUUAACCCAAUAAAUUUCAUUCACUCCACAUAAUCAAUCCUAUAGACACCCUUUUAAUUCUUCAAUCACAGAUGUAACUUUGAUUUCACAAAACAGUCAAGAGUAAUCACACUCACUUCAUUAAAAUCCCGAUUUACCAGUACAAUACUGACUUCACCAACGAUUGCCUCAAUCUUCCCAAAAUCCUAUGAAGAAAAAAAAAACCCCCAAUUCUCUAUCUUUUCUUUCCCGACCCAAAGCAUGAAGCUCGCU